ACGGGGGGAGCAAGCGUUGUUCGGAAUCACUGGGCGUAAAGGGCGUGUAGGCGGUCAGAUAAGUGGGGUGUGAAAUCCCUCGGCUCAACUGAGGAACUGCCUUUGAAACUGUCGGGCUUGAGGCCGGGAGGGGGUAGCGGAAUUCCCAGUGUAGCGGCGAAAUGCGUAGAUAUUGGGAGGAACACCGGUGGCGAAGGCGGCUACCUGGACCGGUUCUGACGCUGAUGCGCGAAAGCGUGGGGAGCAAACAGGA
This 253-nucleotide ribosomal RNA is filed under the name uncultured prokaryote. RNAcentral's name for it is "partial 16S ribosomal RNA". It matches the Rfam family "Bacterial small subunit ribosomal RNA", at positions 525 to 777 of the family's 1533-position model. The record is from RNAcentral.